Long non-coding RNA from Haliotis rubra (blacklip abalone), 348 nucleotides. RefSeq lists it as uncharacterized. Lineage: Eukaryota; Metazoa; Mollusca; Gastropoda; Lepetellida; Haliotidae. The transcript is spliced from 3 exons. The record is from RefSeq and is a predicted model, not a curated record.
UGUAGGAUGAUAUAUAUGUUCAAGAAAUUCCUUCUGUCUCUGGCUGACUUGUCCACCUUCCCUCCAGUGGGUUUACAUGUCACAGGAUACCAAGUACCUCUCUGGGAGGCAACCACUGCAUCAGCUGAUGCUGACAUGUUCAUGUAUGCCAUUUGCAAGUGUCAGACCUACAACAACUUUAAGGGGCUCUGAGUAGUCAGCCAUGCCAAAAAACUGACAUGUCUUGCAACUAUGCCAGGUGCCAGGAAUGGACGGCCUCCUCAUCUGAGUGGAGCUUGAGGUCAACUUUGCCAAACUUUAUGGGGAGAGCAUUGUAAGACAAGAUCCCACCAGGACCACUUGUUUGAU